GGAAUUUGUACAGAAAGUCCAACACAGGUACUCAGUCAGGUGAACAGGGGUCACCAUUGGAGGAAAAACUGACUUUUAUGCUAAUCUGCACCUGUCUGAGGCUUGUGCAGGUGUUCCAGUGGUGGGAGAGGGUGGAUGGUGAUGUGAUGUGAGGCCAAGGAGGGUGGGGAGACCCCUCAUGAGUUGGAGGAGCAAGCUGUGCAAGGAAUGAGUGAGACUGCUGAAAAAAGGCUCUGGUAAUCGUUUACAGCACCCCUGUAAACGAUUACCCGAGAGAAAGUGGGAAUUUGUACAGAAAGUCCAACACAGGUACUCAGUCAGGUGAACACAGGUCACCAUUGGACAAAAAACUGACUUUUAUGCUAAUCUGCACCUGUCUGAGGCUUGUGCAGGUGUUCCAGUGGUGGGAGAGGGUGGAUGGUGAUGUGAUGUGAGGCCAAGGAGGGUGGGGAGACCCCUCAUGAGUUGGAGGAGCAAG
This 478-nucleotide small RNA is filed under the name Vigna angularis var. angularis. RNAcentral's name for it is "Non-protein coding transcript". The record is from RNAcentral. Lineage: Eukaryota; Viridiplantae; Streptophyta; Magnoliopsida; Fabales; Fabaceae.